This is a long non-coding RNA of Vicia villosa (hairy vetch), 712 nucleotides long. RefSeq lists it as uncharacterized. Lineage: Eukaryota; Viridiplantae; Streptophyta; Magnoliopsida; Fabales; Fabaceae. The transcript is spliced from 5 exons. The record is from RefSeq and is a predicted model, not a curated record.
GUUAUCGACAGUCCAGUCCUUUGUAAGUAUUUUGUUCUCUCUUUAUAAUUUUCUUAUUGAUGGCAAUCAUGGUUACAUUACAACACAUGCAAAUCAUAUAUUAAAGUUUAGUAGAUGAUAUAUUACUAAACAUAUGAUUUAUCACCUAGGUUAGUAGAUGAUAUAUUAACUUAUAAGUUUGUUCUGCCGAUUGUUUUUGUUUAAAAAGAGCUUAGAGAUUUGAACCAUUCCUCAACAUCAGCCAAGCAAGGGAAUUCCAUCCACCAUUUUGAAUCACACCUCUAUCCUUAGAGAUUUGAACCAUCCCAAUAUUGUCAGGUUGUUGCAAAUUCUAGCUACUGAGGAAUAUAUGUUUGGUGUGUGUAAAUCUUGAAAAAUAGUACAUCACUAAUCCCGUGCUUAGCAUUCACACUUUCGAAAGAUCUGUUCUACAUCAAGCUCUUUUUGGAAUUUGUGCACCCAAAACUUCUAUUCAUAAGGCUCAUCUGAGCUAUACAGCACCUGAACUUUUGAUGGGCUCAACCAAUUACUCAACUGCAGCUGAUAUCUGGUAUAUGGGCUGCAUAUUUUCUCACAUCAUUAAGCGCCAACCGCUGUUCAAUGAUAUAGACAAGCAUAGGGUAUUGGCUGAGAUAUUCUGAUCUAUACUCAUUUUGCUAUAAAACAUGAGAUGGUCACUCUUUUAGAGUCUUGAGUAAAGCAACAUGUCAAC